RNAcentral lists this long non-coding RNA (455 nucleotides) under Nicotiana tabacum (common tobacco). RNAcentral describes it as "long non-coding RNA (NTAB_LNC007231)". The record is from RNAcentral. Lineage: Eukaryota; Viridiplantae; Streptophyta; Magnoliopsida; Solanales; Solanaceae.
UUUUAAAUUUUUACUUGAAUUUACUUUCUUUACCAAUUUCCAAGAGCUUUUAUCAAGGGCUAAGUGGGGUUUUGGCUAGAAUAUAAAGUUCUGAACUUUUUGUCAGAGAAGAUGAUUUUCUUGCUCCAGGGGAGCAUUUUAUCAAAAUUUAUCACAAUUCUUGAAUUCAGUGUAGCUAAAAGUUUUUAUUUUUGGAUCUUUUUGAUUUUCAAUAGGUAUAGAGGCACUUAGUUGUAAUUGAACGGCUAUUGGAAACAGCCUCUCUAGCUUAACAAGGUAGGGGUAAGGUUUACCUACAUUAUAGAGGUAGGUAUAGAGGCACUUAGUUACCUACAUUAUAUCUUCCCAGAUCCCACACUUCUACCUCCCCCAGACCCCAGUGGGGAUUACACUGGUCUGUUGUUGUAGUACAGAGGCACUUAGUUUUGGAUAUUUUCUUGAUUUGGAACUUGAGA